Molecule: ribosomal RNA, 500 nt
Filed under: uncultured bacterium
Lineage: Bacteria
Description: partial 16S ribosomal RNA
Rfam family: Bacterial small subunit ribosomal RNA
Source: RNAcentral
AUUGAACGCUGGCGGCAGGCCUAACACAUGCAAGUCGAGCGGAUGAGGGGAGCUUGCUCCUCGAUUCAGCGGCGGACGGGUGAGUAAUGCCUAGGAAUCUGCCUAGUAGUGGGGGACAACGUUUCGAAAGGAACGCUAAUACCGCAUACGUCCUACGGGAGAAAGUGGGGGAUCUUCGGACCUCACGCUAUUAGAUGAGCCUAGGUCGGAUUAGCUAGUUGGUAGGGUAAAGGCCUACCAAGGCGACGAUCCGUAACUGGUCUGAGAGGAUGAUCAGUCACACUGGAACUGAGACACGGUCCAGACUCCUACGGGAGGCAGCAGUGGGGAAUAUUGGACAAUGGGCGAAAGCCUGAUCCAGCCAUGCCGCGUGUGUGAAGAAGGCCUUCGGGUCGUAAAGCACUUUAAGUUGGGAGGAAGGGCUCAUAGCGAAUACCUGUGAGUUUUGACGUUACCAGCAGAAUAAGCACCGGCUAACUUCGUGCCAGCCGCCGCGGUAA